Molecule: long non-coding RNA, 755 nt
Organism: Junco hyemalis (dark-eyed junco)
Lineage: Eukaryota; Metazoa; Chordata; Aves; Passeriformes; Passerellidae
Source: Ensembl
UUUUUUUUUUUUUUAGUACAAGGAGAACAGCCAAACUUUGUACAAAAGUUUGGACACAGAACUCUGCAUGAAGGAGAAGAUUUAAUCCUGCAUUGCACUAUACAUGGAAAGCCCAAACCACAUGUCUGCUGGACAAAGGAUGGCAUCCAAGUGGUGUCUGGAGAUAUCAGUAUUGAGAAAUUAGGAGAUAUCUAUUACCUUUUAAAAAGAAAUGUAGUCCUUGCUGAUAGUGGGAAAUAUAUCUGUGUUGCCAGCAACGAAAUUGGAAAGGCACACUGUUCUGCUUUCGUGACAGUGAUAGAGAAAAAUAAACCCCCCUGCACUUCCAGUGUAAGUCAGGCUAAACCAGAAUGUGAAGAUGGGUACUUUUCAGAAGAAGUGAAUGUCACCACAACAGAGCUAGUCCAAGCCCAGGACACACCAUGGGAGCGAGAAGGAAGGCCAGUGGCUAGUUGUACUCCAGUAAGGUUUAAAGAGAAGCUCUGGUUUCAAGGAGUGCAUCUUGAACUUGAAAGGCCUUAAGAAAUUAACUUCAAUUUGAGACAUGAUCCCAUUCUUCUGCCUGAUGCAGUGGAGCAGAAGAUGGACUGAACUGCAAGAUGCCUGAUUCCUGAGCAUGUUUGUGUUGUUUGCUGUGUCCAUUAGUAGGUAUUGGCCAUGGGUGAGGAGCAGAUGAAUUUUGGGUGCUAUCCAAUAUAUAUCUAGAUUCAAAUUUGUCUUUUGUUUCUUUACAAAUAAAUCAUUAUUAAAAUUCA